RNAcentral lists this ribosomal RNA (253 nucleotides) under uncultured bacterium. RNAcentral's name for it is "partial 16S ribosomal RNA". It matches the Rfam family "Bacterial small subunit ribosomal RNA", at positions 524 to 776 of the family's 1533-position model. The record is from RNAcentral.
UACAGAGGUCCCAAGCGUUGUUCGGAUUCACUGGGCUUAAAGCGUGUGUAGGCGGACUUGUAAGUACCUUGUGAAAUCCCACGGCUCACCCGUGGAACUGCUGGGUAUACUGCGAGUCUUGAGCCACUUAGGGGCUGUCGGAACAGGCGGUGGAGCGGUGAAAUGCGUAGAUAUCGCCUGGAACGCCAAAGGUGAAAACAGACAGCUGGGAGUGUGCUGACGCUGAGACACGAAAGCCAGGGGAGCGAACGGG